Long non-coding RNA from Equus asinus (donkey), 2683 nucleotides. The record is from Ensembl. Lineage: Eukaryota; Metazoa; Chordata; Mammalia; Perissodactyla; Equidae.
GAUGAGUGGUGUAGGUCUACCCCGGGAUCUGAAUCCAUGAACCCGGGCUGCCAAAGCAGAGCGUGCUGAACUUAACCCCUACACCACAGGGCUGGCCCAGGGUCUGAUCAUCUUAAAAUGAGCCAUCUACUUAAAUUCUAGAUUCAUUGAACUGAGCCAAUAAACUCCAGUUUGUAGCAGCUCUACCAACACAGAGGAUGCCUGAGUGUUCUAAGAUCCUGCUUAAAACAACAAGUCCUCUCGUCUUUAUUACAAUGUGACACAUUUUCUGAUGAAGCAGCAAUCUGAAAUAGAAAACAUGAUGUCAUAGACUAUGAAAUAAACGUUCUUAUUUUUAAUGAGAUCUGCCACCAUUUCAGACCUGCCUGAAGUUGAAAUGAACACGAUGAACAACUGUGAAUAAGAACUAACAUUUCAGGGUGUGAGGAAUCAGAGGUGACCGGAUGAUUUAGUUGUGUCCCAAGCAGGAUGUCCUAGUUUCAAAAUUAUUCAUGUAUUCAAAGCAACAGAAUAAAUCCCCAUUCUAUUUAAGAGGUAGUGAUUCUUUCUAUCCAAGUGAAAAUGCAGCACAUAGACCCAAAUUCUGCACUGAAAAUAGAAGAUUAUUAGCAUUAUAAUUUAUGUAAAUGGCUGCUCUAUUCAUGUGAAGGUAAUUGGUAUCUCUCAGUCAUAUGCUAAUUAUUACAUAAACAGAUCAUAAACAAUUAUGUGAGACGAUUUCCUUUUUUAAGCUGAAACUCCACCUAUUCCUUUAAAGGGUCUACUAUGUUAUUAUAUAAAACAGGAAAAGAAUGACUUAUAUGAGUUCCAAUGCUUUAAAAAUAAAAAUUCUGUUUGGUGCUCUAAAAAUUCUGUUAGGUUUGGUAGGCAUAAGAUCUAUCUAAGAUCUAGGGCAAUGAUUCCCCAUCUUACUGGAACUCACUGGAUAUGUUUGUCUUGGUGGUAGACCUUGAGAGGAAGAAUGGGCGUAAACUUCUCAAACUGAGUGCAUCAAAAUCACCUGGAGAGCUCGUUAAACGCAGGUUUCAGGGCUUCAUCCCCAGAGUUCCGAUUCAGUGGGCCUGACAAUUUGCGUUUCUAGCAAGUUCCAGGUGAUGCUGAUGCAAUUGGUUCCAGCACCACCCUUUAAGAAUCAGUGCUUUAAAGCACGGAUGUGGACUUGGACCCUCAAGGCUGAAGGGAUGUCUAGACUCAAUAGCUUCUUGACGUCCCGGUCCUGUGAUGUAAAACUGCCCUACAGCCAAUUAGUUAUGCUGCGAAAACGUGUGCGAUGAAAAUACUUGCAGCAAAGAUGUUGAUGGCAAAGCUGCUUAUGACGAAAAUGCCAGACACAGAUUUUGUUCUCUUAGGCAAAUACCCAGAAGUAGAAUUGAUGAACCAUUGAGAAAUUUGGCAAGAAAAAGUACAAGUGGAUUCGCCUCCCUCCUCAGGCAGAGCCAGCCACGGCCUUGUUUCCUUGGGAUCCCACAGGAAGAGGUGAUGCGAGCCCGAUUUCAAACGGGCCUCAUGCGGCCAGACCUGCGAUCUGACAAGCCAUUUAGACAUCCAAAAUUGCAAAACAAUAAUAACCGUCAGUUAACACAGGCCUUUCUGCAUGUUAGGCUCUGUUCUAAGGGCCUUCUAUUUAUUGACAAGUCCUCACACGAUGGUAACUCCUUCCUCAAUGAGAUUUAAAGAGGUCUCUCCAACGUUUUUUUAAGCAGCGUCCACACACAGCACAGUGUGACCUGUGCUUUGAGGAUUAGGAUAUGAAUACAGACUCUGCCCCCGCAGAGCUCCCAAGGUCUCAGGAAAGAUGCAAUGAGGAGUCACAGUGCAAUGGACAGUCUGAGAGAAAUGGCGGCACAGGAAGACAGGCUCCUCGAGGCUGGGCACAGAGACUCUGCCUGGAAGGAAGGAUGGCCGUGCAGAGCGGGUGACAUUUGGGAUGGGCCGUGAAGAGUAAGAUUUUGUCAGGUGGAGGAGACUAAAAUUAGAUAAAAACAGACAUUCUCAACCUUUAGCAGUGCAUCUGCUGAAAGUUCCAAUGCUCUGAUCCUGUGGUUGGUUCUGGCACCUAGCUCCCUCCUGACACUGUGUUGGGGCCCAGCUCAUCAGCGCAUUAGCAUAAAAACUCAGGUGUGGUUGAAAGAGGCUCGUUAUGAAUAAAAGAUGCUCCUCUCACUCCUGUCACUCAGGAAAUUACAAGGGUUUUAGGAGCUCUGUGCCAGGAACCAUAACGAAGACCAAAUAUGUAUAUAUUUCUUCUUAUAUCACAAUAUCACUCACGAUUAGGUUGAAGUUACACAUUUUUGGCAAAAAUAAAACAGAAGAGAUGCGCCCUCCUCUGCAUAUCACGCCAGGGCAUAAAUGAUGUGCCUGUGUCUUUCUUCGUAACUGAUGCUGACUUUGAUCACUCAUUUAGGAUUGUGUCUGCUGGGCGUCUCCACUGUCAAGUUGCUGUUUUCCUCUUUGUAAUUAAUACGUAUCUUGUGCAAAAGAUAUGUUGAAGCUAUGUAAAUAUUCUGUUUCUUAGCAUACUUUUGCCCACUCAUUUUAGUAUCCAAAGAGAGCUUUGGCCUACAAUAGGUGUUACUGUGAUUUUCUAUCAGUGGUUUUCUAUCAUUCUAGAAGAAAAAUUUCAUAGUUUCUACGUCCUCUCUUUUAGUCCCCUCAGGUCAUGAUUUGAGGUCUGGCUGCCUUU